This 24-nucleotide non-coding RNA is filed under the name Arabidopsis thaliana (thale cress). The record is from RNAcentral. Lineage: Eukaryota; Viridiplantae; Streptophyta; Magnoliopsida; Brassicales; Brassicaceae.
AGAAGUGCCUAAACAUGUCCAAUU